This 22-nucleotide non-coding RNA is filed under the name Arabidopsis thaliana (thale cress). Lineage: Eukaryota; Viridiplantae; Streptophyta; Magnoliopsida; Brassicales; Brassicaceae. The record is from RNAcentral.
UGCCGUGAUCGUGGUCUGCAGC